GACCGCGUAGCUCAGUUGGCAGAGCAUUGGCCUAGUAUUCCAAAAGGUCGUAGGUUCGAUUCCCACCGUGGCCG
Molecule: transfer RNA, 74 nt
Filed under: Paramuricea clavata
Lineage: Eukaryota; Metazoa; Cnidaria; Anthozoa; Malacalcyonacea; Plexauridae
Rfam family: tRNA
About the family: Transfer RNA (tRNA) molecules are approximately 80 nucleotides in length. Their secondary structure includes four short double-helical elements and three loops (D, anti-codon, and T loops).
Source: Rfam by way of RNAcentral